Molecule: ribosomal RNA, 468 nt
Filed under: uncultured bacterium
Lineage: Bacteria
Description: partial 16S ribosomal RNA
Rfam family: Bacterial small subunit ribosomal RNA
Source: RNAcentral
GACGAACGCUGGCGGCGUGCUUAACACAUGCAAGUCGAACGGUGAAGCUUCAGCUUGCUGGAGUGGAUCAGUGGCGAACGGGUGAGUAACACGUGAGCAACCUGCCCCUGACUCUGGAAUAAGCGCUGGAAACGGCGUCUAAUACUGGAUACGAGAAGGGUCCGCAUGGGCACUUUCUGGAAAGUUUUUCGGUUGGGGAUGGGCUCGCGGCCUAUCAGCUUGUUGGUGAGGUAAUGGCUCACCAAGGCGACGACGGGUAGCCGGCCUGAGAGGGCGACCGGCCACACUGGGACUGAGACACGGCCCAGACUCCUACGGGAGGCAGCAGUGGGGAAUAUUGCACAAUGGGCGAAAGCCUGAUGCAGCGACGCCGCGUGAGGGAUGACGGCCUUCGGGUUGUAAACCUCUUUCAGCAGGGAAGAAGCGAAAGUGACGGUACCUGCAGAAGAAGCACCGGCUAACUACGUG